This 467-nucleotide long non-coding RNA is filed under the name Androctonus crassicauda. Lineage: Eukaryota; Metazoa; Arthropoda; Arachnida; Scorpiones; Buthidae. The record is from RNAcentral.
AGUGUGGCGCUGUGUUGUGCUUAGAACUAAACAUUAUAUAAUUUUGUAUAAUAAUUGUGUAUAAAAUUUAAAUUGUAAAACAAAAAGCAUGCCUCCAGGGCCCAAGAGACGUGGACAUCAGAAUAGGAGGAUUAAUGAUAUGAGAGAUUCUAGUGAAGAUAAACAGCAAAAAAUAGGUAAAAAUCAAAAUAAAGAACAUUUCGAAGAGAUUAAGAGAAACAGAUUUAACGAGAAAGUUCAAAAGUCUGAUCUUGACAAGAAUAUUACUAAUGAGAAUGAAAUCGAAGUUGAAAAAGAUGACCAAGAAAAUUAUGAACACUGUAUGCCAUCAUCAGGUUUGAUUCUGUUUAGAACUUAACAAUAAACCAAAGAAGCAUGGAAAGAUACAUGCUAGGAUUCAUCACGAGGGGCCACAAAACCAACAUAUGGAUAAGAAAAUAAACCAAAGUAGAAGAUAUACUGAUAAC